GAUGAACGCUGGCGGCGUGCCUAAUACAUGCAAGUCGAGCGAACGGACGAGAAGCUUGCUUCUCUGCUGCUAGCGGCGGACGGGUGAGUAACACGUGGAUAACCUACCUAUAAGACUGGGAUAACUUCGUGAAACCGGAGCUAAUACCGGAUAAUAUUUUGUACCGCAUGGUUCAAAAGUAAAAGACGGUCUUGCUGUCACUUAUAGAUGGAUCCGCGCUGCAUUAGCUAGUUGGUAAGGUAACGGCUUACCAAGGCAACGAUGCAUAGCCGACCUGAGAGGGUGAUCGGCCACACUGGAACUGAGACACGGUCCAGACUCCUACGGGAGGCAGCAGUAGGGAAUCUUCGGCAAUGGGCGAAAGCCUGACGGAGCAACGCCGCGUGAGUGAUGAAGGUCUUCGGAUCGUAAAACUCUGUUAUUAGGGAAGAACAUAUGUGUAAGUAACUGUGGACAUCUUGACGGUACCUAAUGAGAAAGCAACGGCUAACUACGUG
Molecule: ribosomal RNA, 497 nt
Filed under: uncultured bacterium
Lineage: Bacteria
Description: partial 16S ribosomal RNA
Rfam family: Bacterial small subunit ribosomal RNA
Source: RNAcentral